RNAcentral lists this ribosomal RNA (484 nucleotides) under uncultured bacterium. RNAcentral describes it as "partial 16S ribosomal RNA". It matches the Rfam family "Bacterial small subunit ribosomal RNA", at positions 30 to 507 of the family's 1533-position model. The record is from RNAcentral.
AUUGAACGCUGGCGGCAGGCCUAACACAUGCAAGUCGAGCGGAUGAAGGGAGCUUGCUCCUGGAUUCAGCGGCGGACGGGUGAGUAAUGCCUAUGAAUCUGCCUGGUAUUGGGUUAUAACGUCCGGAAACGGGCGCUAAUACCGCAUACGUCCUGAGGGAGAAAGUUGGUGAUCUUCGGACCUCACGCUAUCAGAUGAGCCUAGGUCGGAUUAGAUAGUUGGUGGGUUAAAGGCCUACCAAGGCGACGAUCCGUAACUGGUCUGAGAGGAUGAUCAGUCACACUGGAACUGAGACACGGUCCAGACUCCUACGGGAGGCAGCAGUGGGGAAUAUGGGACAAUGGGCGAAAGCCUGAUACAGCGAUGCCGCGUGUGUGAAGAAGGUCUUCGGAUUGUAAAGCACUCUAAGUUGGGAGGAAGGGCAGUAAGUUAAUACCUUGCUGUUUUGACGUUACCAACAGAAUAAGCACCGGCUAACUUCGUG